UCAUACAGCUACCUAGUUCACCCCAUCAAUCAAUCAAUCAAUCGAUACAGUCACUCUUCAAAGCAUUUUGAGAGUUCUCCCACAGAUUUUAUGCUAGCUGGAGUUCCGACUUGUUUAUUAAAGUAGGAAGGUUGGAAGCGAACCAUAUCUAACAAACUUUUUUCAAAACGAAAAUUAAAAGCAAAUUAAACUUUCAUUGUCUUACGUCCCAUGUUAGGGGGGGGAAGCAGCUAAACAAUGAUGAUUUAUAGAUGGUUGCCUCGGCUAUUAUUUACUUUGUUUCAUAUCUGAAAGAAGAGUAAGGGAUAGGAUACGCCAAAGAUCCACCAUAAAACGGUUUAUCAACAAAAGGAUCAUCAUCGAAUUUGGUUUAUGAGUCUUUCAAAUGUACUCGUGUUUGUUAGUUUAACAUACUAUUGCAUCCACUAGAGAUAGUUAAGAGAAGCUGAUUUACAAAUGAUCGGUUUCGACAUGUCUGCCAAGUUAUACUUUUAACGUAUUACCAAGAAAAAAAAAUUUACGGGACGGGGAUUCCAUUCUUGCUGCUUUGGUUUAUACUGUAAGCAUAACAGCAAUCUUAAAUUGAAUCGUCUUUGCCAAGCGCAUUUGUAAGAGUAUUGUAUGCUAUGCCACGCAGUGCAUUUUCAUAUCCAACGCUACAUACAAUUUGUUGUUACUCUUUCUGUAGACCAUUUCGGAACGUUGAUUGAAGAUCGGAAAAUUUAAUGUUUCGUCCAGAAAUUGUCUGCAUAUGUAGUAUCACAGAGAGUGUCAAGUCAUAUCUGACAGCAUCAGGUUAAUGAGCUUAAUUUGGGCCAAAGGCGAGCUAGAAAAGAAGAAGAAAAAAAGAAAAAGUAAACAGUAAAGAAAAACAUAUAACGACUCUUAUUCAUCCUUCCUCAGCAUUCCCUUUUUCAUAUUUUUAUCCCAUUCUAAUCCUAGUCUAAGAAAUGCUGGCGAUAUAGACCGAGUCUACUGGUGUCUGGAAAGGAACAUAGCUAUAUCUAUAUAUAGAUAUAGAUAUAGAUAUGUAUGUAUGCUUGUAUUUCGUUGGCAGUUUUCUAGUUUAACUAGCAAAAUACAAGAAUUAAAAUUA
Molecule: non-coding RNA, 1096 nt
Organism: Schizosaccharomyces pombe (fission yeast)
Lineage: Eukaryota; Fungi; Ascomycota; Schizosaccharomycetes; Schizosaccharomycetales; Schizosaccharomycetaceae
Source: the annotation of a GenBank genome assembly